AUUGAACGCUGGCGGCAUGCUUUACACAUGCAAGUCGAACGGCAGCGCGGGGGCAACCCUGGCGGCGAGUGGCGAACGGGUGAGUAAUGUAUCGGAACGUAUCCUGUAAUGGGGGAUAACCAGUCGAAAGAUUGGGUAAUACCGCAUACGCACGAGAGUGGAAAGUAGGGGAUCGCAAGACCUUACGUUAUAGGAGCGGCCGAUAUCUGAUUAGCUAGUUGGUGGGGUAAAGGCCUACCAAGGCGACGAUCAGUAGCUGGUCUGAGAGGACGACCAGCCACACUGGGACUGAGACACGGCCCAGACUCCUACGGGAGGCAGCAGUGGGGAAUUUUGGACAAUGGGCGAAAGCCUGAUCCAGCCAUGCCGCGUGCAGGAAGAAGGCCUUCGGGUUGUAAACCUCUUUCAGCAGGGAAGAAGCGAAAGUGACGGUACCUGCAGAAGAAGCACCGGCUAACUACGUGCCAGCAGCCGCGGUAAGAGUACUCUAU
This 491-nucleotide ribosomal RNA is filed under the name uncultured bacterium. Its description in RNAcentral is "bacterial SSU rRNA". It matches the Rfam family "Bacterial small subunit ribosomal RNA", at positions 29 to 535 of the family's 1533-position model. The record is from RNAcentral.